GGAGGGCUAGCCUAAUUGGUAAGGCAACGGUCUUGAAAACCGUCGGGCUUAACCGCCCUUGGGGGUUCGAGUCCCUCGCCCUCCGCCA
Molecule: transfer RNA, 88 nt
Filed under: Candidatus Krumholzibacteriia bacterium
Lineage: Bacteria; Candidatus Krumholzibacteriota; Candidatus Krumholzibacteriia
Also listed under: 1 other name
Description: tRNA-Ser
Rfam family: tRNA
About the family: Transfer RNA (tRNA) molecules are approximately 80 nucleotides in length.
Source: RNAcentral